UCCCUCCGCCCUCUCCCUUCCCUCCCCGCACUCUCUCCCGGCUGCUCGGAGGUGCCGCCGUUCGUCGCCGUGAUGGCCGCGGUGACGAGGGGCACGGCCACGCGCCGCAGCCGGCUGAAGCGCUCGGACGGCAGCACCACGUCCACCAGCUUCAUCCUGCGGCAGGGCUCAGCAGAUUCGUACACAAGCAGACCCUCAGACUCUGAUGUGUCUUUGGAGGAGGACAGGGAAGCAAUCCGCCAGGAGAGAGAGCAGCAAGCGGCGAUACAGCUCGAAAGGGCAAAGUCCAAACCAGUAGCGUUUGCUGUUAAGACCAAUGUGAGUUACUGUGGAGCUCUGGAUGAAGAUGUCCCUGUCCCAAGCACUGCCAUCUCUUUUGAUGCAAAGGACUUCCUACACAUUAAAGAGAAAUACAAUAAUGACUGGUGGAUAGGGAGGCUGGUGAAGGAGGGCUGCGAAAUUGGUUUCAUUCCAAGUCCACUUAGACUGGAGAAUAUCCGCAUCCAGCAGGAGCAGAAGAGAGGCCGUUUCCAUGGAGGGAAAUCAAGUGGGAAUUCUUCUUCAAGUCUUGGAGAAAUGGUUUCUGGCACAUUUCGAGCCACACCUACUUCCACAGCAAAACAGAAACAGAAAGUGACAGAACACGUUCCCCCGUAUGACGUGGUGCCAUCAAUGAGGCCUGUUGUCUUAGUGGGGCCGUCGCUGAAAGGCUAUGAGGUGACAGACAUGAUGCAGAAAGCUCUCUUUGACUUCCUGAAGCACAGGUUUGAUGGGAGGAUAUCAAUAACCCGAGUGACAGCUGACAUUUCUCUUGCUAAGAGGUCUGUUCUGAAUAACCCAAGCAAGAGGGCAAUAAUUGAACGGUCAAACACACGAUCCAGUUUAGCUGAAGUGCAGAGUGAGAUUGAAAGGAUCUUUGAGCUGGCCCGGUCCUUGCAGCUGGUUGUCCUGGAUGCAGACACUAUCAAUCACCCCGCACAACUUAUCAAGACAUCUCUAGCACCAAUUAUUGUCCAUGUUAAAGUGUCUUCUCCAAAGGUUUUGCAGCGACUGAUUAAAUCUAGAGGAAAGUCACAAAGUAAACACUUGAAUGUUCAGUUGGUGGCGGCUGAUAAACUUGCACAAUGCCCACCAGAAAUGUUCGAUGUAAUUCUGGAUGAGAACCAGCUGGAAGAUGCUUGUGAGCACCUGGCAGAAUACCUGGAGGCGUACUGGCGUGCUACGCACACCACCAGUAGCACACCCAUGACUCCUCUUCUUGGGCGAAACUUAGGAUCCACGGCACUGUCCCCAUACCCUGCUGCGAUCUCUGGACUGCAGGGAUAGCUCAAAAACGGCUGAACUUUGACACUUCAAACGUGGCAUGUAAAUAGUCCUUAACGAGAAGUACGUGCUUUACUAAGUUUGAAAACAGAACGUGUUGGUGAAGCAAUAGUUGUGAAUGCUUGAGAAGAUCAGGACUGUAGUGAACUCUGAAGUCUGGGAGUUUCAGGUGUUUUGUGUGUGUGUGACUUCAUAGGAACGUGCGCUUCCUGAUGUAUGUCAAAAGCAGACUGAGCAAACGAAAUCUGAUGAAUGAUUCACCUGACAAAUUUAACCUCUGUUCUGCUUGUAGAAUGUCUGGAAGCAGGUAACGCUUUUGAAGGAGAUGACUCAUGGUUGAGCGUUUCCAAUGAGAACGAAGCUAUUUUUUCUGUGGGUGAAUGGCACUUCAUGCAGGUGCAUGGUGUUUGGUACUCACCUUUCUAAUGACGUGCUUGAUUUUAUUAGGCUCAGUGAGCCACUGUUUCCUGACUGGCUGAAUGCACAAGCACUGUUCUGUUACUAAUAAAGCACACGUGUAAAAUGUCGUUUCCAUUUUCACUUGCCUUAAGAUUUCAGUUUUCCAUCCCGUCAUGACAAUAAAAUGCCAUCUGUAGAACUGUCACCUCUUCAGUUUCAUUUUGAAAACUGGGUGUAUCCACAGAAUUUUUUUCAGGCAUUUAUUUCUCUCUGAUCAAUGGACACCAGCAGUGACUGUCAAAUGUUGCUCCAUUUACUUAGGGAAAACUCACACUGAAGAUGAAAAUCACCCCUGUGCAGUGGGCUGGCUGAAGAGCCAGCGUAUGAGGCACAGCAGCCAUUCUACAGAGAACUCUCCAAUUGAGCGACGAAGUCUCAUGACCUCAGAUGAAAAUUAUCACAACGAAAGGGCUCGGAAGAGCAGGAACCGCUUGUCUUCCAGUUCCCAACACAGCCGAGAUCACUAUCCUCUAGUGGAAGAAGAGUACUCUGACUCGUACCAGGACACUUACAAACCCCAUAGGAACCGAGGAUCCCCUGGAGGAUACAGCCAUGAUUCACGACACAGGCUUUGAGUUCAAGAACCUGGGGAAAAAUAGUAUUCAUCGGUUGAUAACUUGCCAUAACGUAGCUAGGAAAAACAAUCCACCUUAUUUUGGCAGAUGUAAUGCGGUUAUACUGAGGUUACACUGCUGUCAUUUGAUGUUCAGUAGGGGACAAAAGAGUUCUCAUGCCCUUACGUUUAUGCCCUGUCACAUAGAUUGUAUUUUGUUGGGUUUAUUUUUAGUACGGCAUUUACAUUUAUAGCCAUACCUUUUCUCAUCAUUAGAUAUUAGGCACAUCGGUUUGUAACUUAGGGUAAUUAUCGAGGCACUUAUAAAGUAAUUUCCUGUGCUGGAAAUUCCAAAUGACCAGUUCCAGUUGGAACCAAUUUAUAAACCAAUUCCUGUUGGAAUUUGGGUGAAUUGACUGGAAAGUCAACCUGAGCAUGUUGCAAUCGAGUGAAAAAGGUAAAAAUGAAGACUCUGAAAAUUAGAAAGCAGUAGAAGCCAGAAAGUCAACUACAGUGUUUGUUUGCUGGAAGCUCAAUUUACAUUUACAGUUAGAAUAAAAGCAUUUUAUCCUAACUUCUUACUUCCAGAAUGGCUCUUUCAGACAAACCAAAAGUAAACUGUUGAGAGUGCCAAAAUCACCAAUUAUUGCAGCAGUUACAAAAUGCUUUCCAGUUUGAAAUUAUUUUUAGAGCUGGCACGAAUGUUGCAGCAGAAUGAUUUCUUUAGCUUAGCCAGGACUGACGUUUGUGGUGGGGUCAGCAGUGACGAGCUCUGACACGGCAGGGGAGAACAGAAAGAGGAAAAUGGACAAACUUCAGGCCAGUUUGUGUGCGUAGAGGUUGACAGUAGUCUUUUUUUCUCUCUCUCUCUUGUUUACCUGAAUACAGCUAGAAGUCCCAAAAUCACAGAAUCGCAGAAUGGCCUGCGUUGCAAAGGCCCACAGUGCUCAUCCAGCUCCAACCCCCUGCUGUGUGCAGGGUCACCAACCAGCAGCCCAGGCUGCCCAGAGCCACAUCCAGCCUGGCCUUGAAUGCCUGCAGGGAUGGGGCAAAUGUAGUAGUAGGAGGAGGAGUACCAAAUCUGGUACCUGGAUAUAUAAUACUUUUUCUCCCAUUUUGAGUAUCCUGCCUUUUUAAAUGGAAAAUGAUACUUUUACCCAGUGUGUAGAGCACCUCCAUGCCCGUCCAUCUGAGCACCUGCAUGUUGCAACCUUCCAAAUGUGUCUCUGAAUGUCUGAAAAUUCCAGCAUUGCACAAGAACUCUGCAGAAGGACAUCAGGUUCAGUCCCAGUAGUGAAAUCUGAGGAAAGGGGGUGGGGUUAAUCAUCCCUAAUUGACAAAAGUGGAAAUAAUGCAAUCAUCAGAAUUAGCAUGCAAUAAAAAUGAGAAAAUAAUCGCUCACGUGUAGAGCUAACAUUUUUAAUUCCAAGAACGGCGAUAAAUCCCUGGAGAUAUUGCUGCCUUACUUCCUACCGAUCACUUCUUUUCACCUAUUGAGUCUUCAGUGUUUUUAAAUAGGUCGAUGUUUCUGAGUAGGCCGUAUGUCUUACAUCAUCAGUGAAGCCUUAGAUCCAGUGCGAUGGAAACCUGAGUGGAACUGAGGGUGUGUACAGCGCAGCCAUGUCUGUAAGCAGAGACUCCUGAAGUUCCACAAUGCAUGUUGUCUGACAGAACUGUGCUGAAGGUGCGUUUUGUGAUGCAGGGUCGUGACAAAAGGUUUUUCAAAGAUGAGGAUCGUGGAUUUUUGUAUCUGUGUAUCUUCCCCAGGGCGGGCUUUCACAGCAUGUAGCACGAAGAGAAUUUCCUAUUUAUUAGAGUUUCUUCCACUUUCUGGAGCAGUUAACAAAGAUCACGGAUAUUUUCCACCACCUGUGAGCCUGGUUAUCUUCUUGAUGUUAAAACGAGAAAAGGAAUUCAUCUCCUGUCAGGUACAGCCAAAAAUGACACACAUCUCCAGCAGCGUUACAAGAUCGUGGAUGCACGACUGAUUUGUUACACAAUUCUGCUGCCUCAAAGCCAACCUUAAACAUUACUGGAUGAUUCAGGCGGGCCCAUUGCCGAGAAAAAAAUAGAUAUUAAAUACCUGCAUCCAUUGGAGUAACAAGAGUUAGGGAUGGGUGUGACAGACCUGAUCCUGCUGGAUUUUCUCCAGCUGGACGCCCACAGAUUCCAAAAGUGCAUUUAGGCUGAGAAAGCGCAGCAGGAUCUGGUCUGGGAAUGGUAGCUCCAGCUGCCUUCUCUAGUAUUUCCUGCUACAGCACAGUGGAGCAUUCUCCAGUAAUCCUUACAAAUCUUUGUUACAUGUACAGCACACAUACCUGCAUGAGAAAGAAGGCAUUAGGCAAAACAUAUUUUCUAUAAGCUUUAAUGAGUUUCUUGUUUGUGUGCAUUAAAGUAUUAAUUGCAAAGGAUGCACUGAGAUGUAUAAAGCUAGAUUAGACAGCUGUUUAUCUUUAUUCUGUAGUAGCGUUAGGGAUCCGGUCAUUUAACUGCUUGAAGAUACUUGCAUUUUAAUGGCAGGUAGCUGUGAAGCACCUCCAUGUAUUUUCUAGUAAACAAGGUUACUGCUUUAUCAUUUCCUAGACAAAAAUGGCAUUUAUUUCUAGAGCCUUUUGGAGCCUUGUUUUUAAGUCUUCCAUGUCAUGCUACUAAAGGGAAAGAUUGAUACAAUGCAUAGGCAUAAAUCCCAUCACCUGCAGCAUCCGAAGUGCCAAAACGACUUCCUUUGUUCUAAUAGAAGCAAGCUUACAAGGGACAUUAUGUAUUGUCUUGGAAGAACCCAUUGAGGUCCUUUAUUAUAUGGGUUUAAGUUUACUGUUGUAUGUAAUUAGUUUACCCUCUUCGCUCCCAUUGCCCACUCCAUUUUGAAUAUAAGAAAUGGGUUAUAAAAGAUCCAGCAUUUCUCAUUGCUCGGUGUUUUUUCUUUGAGGACAGGUAUAUCUUUAAGCACAAAUAGGCUGAACAUGCUCGUGGGUUAUUCAUUUAUUCUAGAUACGAGCUACUGGAGCUCUUUCAUUUUACACAGUAAAUGAUUUUUAUGGAACACAGUAAUCAGUAAAAGCCGCAGUGUUGGUCAGGAUGUCAUAACUCGUGUUUGUGUUAGAGCUGCAGCAGUGCUAGCCAGCUGUAUUGUCAUCUGCUAUGCAGUGCUGCUGUAUACAGCUGUGAAGUUCAUGUAUUCCUCAAUGAAUACGGAUAAUCUUCCAGUCCUCAUACCGUUUCCCAAUAUUAUUACAGUAUUGCUAAGCAAAGGUCGGGGUUCUGUUCCUAAGCUCUGGCUUAUAUAGAGAAUUUUAGAUGGCUUUUUUUGUUACCUGAUGGUUUUUCCAUUAGGAAACUUGGGGUAACAGUAGCUCAGCCUAUGGGAGUGACAGGACAGUCUUAAUACCUAGAGGUAACAUAGGGCAGUGCAUUCGUGUGUUUGGGAUGAAUCGACAACGCAUCUUAAAACUUGAAGGGCCCUUUAAAGGCAACUCAUUGUUAAAUUGCUAAUUGAAAUACUUCCUUUUUGGCAGGUUGUAUUUAGCAGAUGUACGGCUUCAUUUACUGGCCAUGUAGCUGCACAUUUAUCCCAUGGGAAGUGCAACUCACAACUGGCUGUGUGUCUGCAGUGAGUAGAUGAUGAAAUUGCUGUUCAGAGGAACACAGUGGAAGCUGUUCUAUACAAAACUGUAGUUUAUAAACAGCGGGCCAGGUUCUGUGGUUGCUUUCUAAACAUUCAGCCUGGUAAAAAUCAGUUAAUCUGCUUGAGAAGUAAUAGUGCAGCAUGGCCCUACGCCUAGAUUGCACCUCAAGGAAUCCUCUGAGCCCUGGGCUGUGUUUGUGAUGAGCAGGAGGAGCUCCUGGAGCACACCCUGCCUUGGAUCUCAUGUUUCUGGCUUGCUGUGCUGGACCCAGGUAUGGUGGGCUGGGAGGUGGCUCUGAGGCUCCAGCUGGUUGCUGGUGGCCAUAGGCAGUGCUGGCGCUGGCUUUCUGCAAGGAGGAGCAGUGUCAUUGGUUUUUCUCCAGGUUUGAAAGCUUAUUCUCAGUUUGAUAACUGGGGUAGUAACCUUUUGUACCCCUUGCUUUUAUAAGCACAUCCCUGAGAGUGAAAAUGGCAAACAGGGAGUGGUGGCUGUAGGGUAACAAGGCAGUGACAGUUACUGAGAUGUGCACUGGCCCUCAGCUUACAGUUCAGGUUGACUGCAGGUCUGAAUCCCAUUUGGUCUCAGUACUGUGGAGUCCUCUGAAACCUCUCCAAAUCACUUUAACUGAUAUGGCUCUAAUGUUCUCAAUACAGUACUGCUAACUUAAAUAAGUGAGGGCUUUCCUUAGUUGUUUUUGCUUUAAAAAUAUCUUAAAAGUCACUCCGAUGGAUUUUGUUGUCCAAGUUGUGCGCUUUGUGAAGCCUGGCCUUGAUUCUGUGGUCUUCAUUUUUUUAAAGCAAAAGUUGACACCACGAAUAAGAAUCAGAUGCGUACUGGGUAAAAUAUCAGUCAUACAGGUCUGUUUUCACUCCUGAAAGUCAUUACCAUAAAACUGAGUUACAUUCCCCACACUGGACUAAGACCACAUUGGAAGUACAGGGUUUUCCUCCCGGAUGACAGCUUUAAUGUCAGCUUAGAUACAUGAGCCUUUGCUAUCUUUUGCUGCAGUUGCCUCUCAUUCCUUCAAAUCUGACUUCUCCAAAGGCACCGUAAUGUAGCCAGCUUUAACUUUAGGGGAAAAAUGAGGCCAAAAGAGAGUAUGUUCCUUCAAUGGCAGUCAUCUGAAUGAUGUUUGUUGGGUUGCUAUUCAAAUCCAGUUUAUUUGAUAUAGGAAAAGAAAGGUAUGCGUGUCUUUAAAAGUACAGGGCCAUUUAAAUAAUGCUGUAAAGUACAUGUGAGGUAUUCACUUAGAAAAGAGCUGAAGCUUCUACUUGGUAUCAAAACCUUUGUUAAGCUGGAGACAGAGAUGUCAUUCCUGAUGCACAAUCCAUUAAAGAAGAGCAGAUAAACCUUCCAAGUUAAUCCAUGCAGAAAGGUUUGGGAGAAGGCAGAAAUUAUUUGGAGACAGUAAUGAGAGCAUCAUUCAUUUCAUGACUCAUAGUGAAUUCCUUGGAAGGAGGUGAAGCUGGGAGCAGCACGGCCUUGGUCUCAGUGAUACUCUGGGCUUGCAUUUGGCCCCCAGGUUUCUUGGCAGUGAGUUUCUGUGUGGCCUGGGCCCUGCAAACACCCACUGCUGGGCACAGUGGGUAUUUCUGCCUUGUCUGAGGGUCAGUGCUUGCAGGGUCUGGUGUCACGUGCCACUUAUCACAUGCCUUACAAAUGGUUCCUGAAAUACAAAGUCAUGUGAACUGAUUGCCAGAGCCCCCCUUUGAGAUCGCUUCUACUCUGCAUACGUGGUAGGAAAUGAACAUAGUGAGGAAAUAAUGCCGUACAAUACCGAACCACCUAUUUUGCCAAUCGUGUGAAAACAGCAAGGGAAAAGAAGCACAUUUGUAAUAGCACAAACUUACGGUAAUUCCACUCUUGCAUUUGGCAUUGUGUUUUUGAAAAACAAAUAGGUAUUUUGAUCCAGCAUUACUGUAUUUAUUGCAUUUUGGAUCAGUUUAACUUGUUGCCUGAUACUGAAGCAUUUUCUUCCUAAGGCCUUGCAUUUUGCAUUUUGAUUUUUCAAUAACUCCUACUCCAUAUGAACUAAUGAAGAAAGACCCUUUUGAAAUGACAGAAUCCUGUAUUCAUUUCCGCUGAUCUCCUCCUCAGAACUGAAAUGCCAUGAAUAGAAGCAAACUUCUCAUUCAGGGUAUAGAUUCUGACCGAUGAAUAUAGCACUCCUGUCCGAGCAGCCCAAGGUCUGCAGUGCAAUUCCCCAGCCAGCUCUUGGGGCCGCAGUGCUGCACGCUGCUGUGUGCCAGCUGAGGGGGGUGGGUUGGGGGGAGAAGAACUUUGUAUCUAAAUCGCUGUGGGAGGGUCAGCCCCAAUGAGCCACUGAUACUGCUGUGCGUUCAGAACUGAAAGGACAGCAAGGUUGGGCUGCCCAGGCCCAGGAUGUGCUGCCAUUUGAACAGCCUGAUUCUCCUCUCGUGCACACAAAGUGAAGUUGCACAAGAAGCAUAGGAAGAGAAUCAGGCAAAGUGCGGUUCUGUGGAUGCAUGAGAAGCAGAGGGGCGAAGGAAAGGUGAAUGCUGCUCAGACUGCAAAGCGUGGACCUUGGGCUUUUCGGUUCCCAGCAAAUCUAUUCCUCACCCAAACUAGUUCCCAGUGCCAGCUGGGCUGUGCCCAGCCCCACCAGGAGCCGGUUUGGGGCACUUUGGUAAAGACAUGGCUGCCUUCACUCCAAAGUGAGACACACAGAUUCGUGUUUUCUGUUCUGCUGAUUUGCCCCUUUCGGUUUUUCCUUCUAGAUACUGUAUGUGUAGCAUUCUACAAGGCAUGCUGGG
Molecule: non-coding RNA, 8735 nt
Organism: Coturnix japonica (Japanese quail)
Lineage: Eukaryota; Metazoa; Chordata; Aves; Galliformes; Phasianidae
Source: RefSeq, a predicted model, not a curated record